AAGUCGUAACAAGGUUUCCGUAGGUGAACCUGCGGAAGGAUCAUUAACGAGUUUUGAAAGGGGUUGUCGCUGGCCUUUCACGAGGCAUGUGCACACCCUGCUCAUCCACUCUCAACCUCUGUGCACUUAUUGUAGGCCGGUGGAAGGCUCGCAAGAGCUGGAAGCCUGCUUAUGUUUUACUACAAACGCUUCAGUUAUAGAAUGUUUACUUGCGUAUAACGCAUUUAUAUACAACUUUCAGCAACGGAUCUCUUGGCUCUC
This 261-nucleotide unclassified non-coding RNA is filed under the name Hyphodermella rosae. RNAcentral's name for it is "partial internal transcribed spacer region". The stretch from base 1 to 46 matches the Rfam family "Eukaryotic small subunit ribosomal RNA", at positions 1786 to 1831 of the family's 1831-position model. The record is from RNAcentral. Lineage: Eukaryota; Fungi; Basidiomycota; Agaricomycetes; Polyporales; Phanerochaetaceae.